UGGGGAAUAUUGGACAAUGGGCGAAAGCCUGAUCCAGCCAUGCCGCGUGAGUGACGAAGGCCUUAGGGUUGUAAAACUCUUUCGUCGGGGACGAUAAUGACGGUACCCGAAGAAGAAGCUCCGGCUAACUUCGUGCCAGCAGCCGCGGUAAUACGAAGGGAGCUAGCGUUGUUCGGAAUCACUGGGCGUAAAGCGCACGUAGGCGGAUAGUUAAGUCAGGGGUGAAAUCCUGGGGCUCAACCCCAGAACUGCCUUUGAUACUGGCUGUCUCGAGGUCGAGAGAGGUUGGUGGAAUUCCUAGUGUAGAGGUGAAAUUCGUAGAUAUUAGGAAGAACACCGGUGGCGAAGGCGGCCCACUGGCUCGAUACUGACGCUGAGGUGCGAAAGCGUGGGGAGCAAACAGGAUUAGAUACCCCCGUAGUCCCUGAGCGGGCUGGCAAGGCGCAU
RNAcentral lists this ribosomal RNA (447 nucleotides) under uncultured bacterium. RNAcentral's name for it is "bacterial SSU rRNA". It matches the Rfam family "Bacterial small subunit ribosomal RNA", at positions 355 to 825 of the family's 1533-position model. The record is from RNAcentral.